RNAcentral lists this transfer RNA (73 nucleotides) under Anaerolineae bacterium. RNAcentral describes it as "tRNA-Glu". It matches the Rfam family "tRNA". From Rfam's summary of the family: Transfer RNA (tRNA) molecules are approximately 80 nucleotides in length. Their secondary structure includes four short double-helical elements and three loops (D, anti-codon, and T loops). Further hydrogen bonds mediate the characteristic L-shaped molecular structure. tRNAs have two regions of fundamental functional importance: the anti-codon, which is responsible for specific mRNA codon recognition, and the 3' end, to which the tRNAs corresponding amino acid is attached (by aminoacyl-tRNA synthetases). tRNAs cope with the degeneracy of the genetic code in two manners: having more than one tRNA (with a specific anti-codon) for a particular amino acid; and 'wobble' base-pairing, i.e. permitting non-standard base-pairing at the 3rd anti-codon position. The record is from RNAcentral. RNAcentral also lists the same sequence under 1 other name. Lineage: Bacteria; Bacillati; Chloroflexota; Anaerolineae.
GCCCCCAUCGUCUAGAGGACUAGGACACCGCCCUUUCAAGGCGGCGACAGGGAUUCGAAUUCCCUUGGGGGCA